UAGCUCAGCGGUAGAGCACUCGGCUUUUAACCGAUUGGUCCUGAGUUCGAAUCUC
Molecule: transfer RNA, 55 nt
Filed under: Goniomonas pacifica
Lineage: Eukaryota; Cryptophyceae; Goniomonadida; Goniomonadaceae
Rfam family: tRNA
About the family: Transfer RNA (tRNA) molecules are approximately 80 nucleotides in length. Their secondary structure includes four short double-helical elements and three loops (D, anti-codon, and T loops). Further hydrogen bonds mediate the characteristic L-shaped molecular structure. tRNAs have two regions of fundamental functional importance: the anti-codon, which is responsible for specific mRNA codon recognition, and the 3' end, to which the tRNAs corresponding amino acid is attached (by aminoacyl-tRNA synthetases). tRNAs cope with the degeneracy of the genetic code in two manners: having more than one tRNA (with a specific anti-codon) for a particular amino acid; and 'wobble' base-pairing, i.e. permitting non-standard base-pairing at the 3rd anti-codon position.
Source: RNAcentral